GACGAACGCUGGCGGCGUGCUUAACACAUGCAAGUCGAACGGAAAGGCCCUGCUUUUGUGGGGUGCUCGAGUGGCGAACGGGUGAGUAACACGUGAGUAACCUGCCCUUGACUUUGGGAUAACUUCAGGAAACUGGGGCUAAUACCGGAUAGGAGCUCCUGCUGCAUGGUGGGGGUUGGAAAGUUUCGGCGGUUGGGGAUGGACUCGCGGCUUAUCAGCUUGUUGGUGGGGUAGUGGCUUACCAAGGCUUUGACGGGUAGCCGGCCUGAGAGGGUGACCGGCCACAUUGGGACUGAGAUACGGCCCAGACUCCUACGGGAGGCAGCAGUGGGGAAUAUUGCACAAUGGGCGGAAGCCUGAUGCAGCAACGCCGCGUGCGGGAUGACGGCCUUCGGGUUGUAAACCGCUUUCGCCUGUGACGAAGCGUGAGUGACGGUAAUGGGUAAAGAAGCACCGGCUAACUACGUGCCAGCAGCCGCGGUGAUACGUAGGGUGCGAGCGUUGUCCGGAUUUAUUGGGCGUAAAGGGCUCGUAGGUGGUUGAUCGCGUCGGAAGUGUAAUCUUGGGGCUUAACCCUGAGCGUGCUUUCGAUACGGGUUGACUUGAGGAAGGUAGGGGAGAAUGGAAUUCCUGGUGGAGCGGGGGAAUGCGCAGAUAUCAGGAGGAACACCAGUGGCGAAGGCGGUUCUCUGGGCCUUUCCUGACGCUGAGGAGCGAAAGCGUGGGGAGCGAACAGGCUUAGAUACCCUGGUAGUCCACGCUGUAAACGGUGGGUACUAGGUGUGGGGUCCAUUCCACGGGUUCCGUGCCGUAGCUAACGCUUUAAGUACCCCGCCUGGGGAGUACGGCCGCAAGGCUAAAACUCAAAGGAAUUGACGGGGCCCCGCACAAGCGGCGGAGCAUGCGGAUUAAUUCGACGCAACGCGUAGAACCUUACCUGGGUUUGACAUGGAUCGGGAGUGCCCAGAGAUGGGUGUGCCUCUUUUGGGGUCGGUUCACAGGUGGUGCAUGGCUGUCGUCAGCUCGUGUCGUGAGAUGUUGGGUUAAGUCCCGCAACGAGCGCAACCCUUGUUCACUGUUGCCAGCACGUUAUGGUGGGGACUCAGUGGAGACCGCCGGGGUCAACUCGGAGGAAGGUGGGGAUGACGUCAAGUCAUCAUGCCCCUUAUGUCCAGGGCUUCACGCAUGCUACAAUGGCUGGUACAGAGAGUGGCGAGCCUGUGAGGGUGAGCGAAUCUCGGAAAGCCGGUCUCAGUUCGGAUUGGGGUCUGCAACUCGACCUCAUGAAGUCGGAGUCGCUAGUAAUCGCAGAUCAGCAACGCUGCGGUGAAUACGUUCCCGGG
This 1343-nucleotide ribosomal RNA is filed under the name uncultured bacterium. Its description in RNAcentral is "16S ribosomal RNA". It matches the Rfam family "Bacterial small subunit ribosomal RNA", at positions 28 to 1378 of the family's 1533-position model. The record is from RNAcentral.